This 990-nucleotide long non-coding RNA is filed under the name Marmota monax (woodchuck). Lineage: Eukaryota; Metazoa; Chordata; Mammalia; Rodentia; Sciuridae. The record is from RNAcentral.
UCUAUACUCCUGAAAAUUCCCCCAAAAUACCAGUUGUUAGAGACCCUGGAUUGUCACACCUUAACAAUCCAUUGCUUGGUGAGUUAAGGGCUAAAAUGAAGAAGGGGGAACCUAGCCAGAAGCAAGGCCAUAGCAAUGGUAAACCCCUUGUUUCAAAUAGCUUGACUUCCAAGACCUUCCUUAAACAUGACCAGGGUGCUGCCUGAAAGAACAUGGCAGUUUCCCAGGUCCUGCAUGUCCACCUGGACAACACACAGAGCAUGAAGCAUGGGCAGGGACUCUGGGUCCCUAAGCUUGACUUCCACAAAGGCCAAGAUAAGAACUGCCCAGCAACUGCUAAGACAAUGACCCCUCCAGGACUCAAAACACACGAGUUUGGUGGAGGGGAUGCAGGGUUGGGCACAUGCCAACCCAGAAGGAGGAGCCACCACCCUCAAGACAGGACAUUAGAGCAGACACUUGGGAGCAAGUCCUGCUCAGCCCAGUCACUGAAGGGACCAGCUCCUCCUGAAAGCCUCAGAAACCAGAUGAAGUACUUUUUUCAAUGGCUUUAUCCUAAUAUAAAAGGCAAGAAUGUUCCCUGGAAAAGUGCAGCUCCCCAUCAUCACCUGUGCAGGGCAGAGGCCUAGUCCCAAGGAGAGCUGCCUUUAUUGGGAAUACUGACAACCCCAGAAUCAUGAGAGACAGUGAAAAGGUCCUGGUGGAGAAACAUGGGCACCAGCAUGGAAUCAAUGUCACCUGCCCCCAAGAGCCACAUUUGUCCCCUGUUAAGUCUGGAACACUCAGCCCAAGGCAGGACUGGAGGUCCAGGCAGAGUUUGUCCAGGCGCAUCCCUUCAAUUACAAGGCUCCUUGCUCUAAAGUAACAAGGAUCAACUCCAUGCCCCACAGGGAUCCAAAGAGUUAUUCAAGUCUCACCUGUGGGCAUCAAGUGGGCCAGUUGUCUCUGGUUGCCCCUUUCUGUGCUAAAGCCAUUUUGGUUAUUAUUCCC